AGAAAAAUAAGCUAACUAAAGCUAUUAGGUUCAUACCCUAAAUAUAGAAUAAUAAUCUUUUUUCUG
RNAcentral lists this transfer RNA (66 nucleotides) under Mileewa alara. RNAcentral's name for it is "tRNA-Met". Lineage: Eukaryota; Metazoa; Arthropoda; Insecta; Hemiptera; Cicadellidae. The record is from RNAcentral.